UCCUUGCACUAGGUGGGGCCAGCCUCCUGUUGUGUAGACUCAUCAACUAUACCAGUCCUCUGUUCCUGGUCUCUGGAGCUUCAAUUUGGGAAAGUGACCCAUUAGCUUCUGAGGACCAGGGUGAGAGAGGGCAAACUUGAAUGCCCUUCACAAUGGAGAGAUGUGUGCAGACCGGACAGACAUCAGUUCCUUUAUCAGUGCACAGGUAGCUGCAAUAUGCUUCCUGGAAUCCUCUCUCAAAUAAACUGCUUGCCUCCAAAUCCUUGUCUCAGGCCUGCAUGUGGAGAGAUAAAACCCAGACAAAGAGGCAGACAUGAGCAGAUGAGCUCCCCCGAACAGGAGACAAGUGGGCUGAGAGGUGAAGGAAGAGGAUGAGCUCCAGCAGCCUAAGGGCUAUCCUCUGAAGCAGAGUCACAGAGCCGAGUGUAGCAAGAAAAGGCUCGGUGAUGCCUGGGGAGGCGACGCCGGCAGUCAGAAGAAUCCAAAGGAGCCUUGACAGCGUCACUGCAGACAAACCUGUCUCCACUGACUGCCCUACUCAGACUCUGCCUGUCUGUGGUGGCCCACUCUCCUCGGGGUGGAUCGGCCUAAGAGUUUCAUUAAAAUCAAGGGGACGGGGAUUGUGGGUAGUGUUGGGACCCAGUAAAGCCCUGGGCUUAAUGGAUCAGAACCAAAACCCCAGCUCCACAUGGGCAGCCCUCAGUUUUCAUGGGUCAGCCCUUUCUGAGAAACCCAGCCAGGGAGGAGCACAGGACCAGCAGCAGGGGAUGCUUCUAAACCCAUAUCUCACUGGAUAAGCUCAUCACCUUCCAAGCCUCUGAAGAACAUUUACGUUCCUAUAAGUUUCUGAAGCCACGUUCAAAUCGUAGCUCUACCACCAAUGAGCUGCACGUUGGAGGGGAAGUGAAUUCACCCCAGACCUGAGUUCCACAUCCCUAGACUGGGUGAGAGGGCCUCUGCCCAGGCUCUCCAUGAGGAUGACCUGCACCGUGUGCCUUUAAUGCACUUAGAACAGCAGGUGCCUCAGUAAACGCUCACUGCCAUUCUGCGAUCAUUAUUGCAUUCACUUCCUGGGGCUGCUGCAACAAAGUACCACACCCUGGGGGCGAAAACAACAGACCCUGACCGUGCCGAUGCUGGAAGUCUGAGAUCAAGGUGUGGGCAGGGCUGGUUCCUUCCGAGGACUGUGAGGAAGACUGUUCCACGCCUCUCUGCAGCUCCGGGUGGUUUGCAGGCAACCUUUCCAUUGCUGGCUUUGCAGACACAUCACCCAGUCUCUGCCCUCAUGUUCACAUGGCUCUCUCCCUGUGUGUGUGUGUCUGCGUCCCAGCCUCCCCUGUUUAUAAGGACAUAGUGGCAUUACAUGACUACUAUUACUCUGAUAGGGCCUCAUCUUAACUAACUACAUCUGCAAAUAACCCAUUGCCACAUAAGGUAGCAUUCUGAAGUACUAGGGGCUAGGACAUCAACAUAGGAAUUUGGGGAGCACAUAAUUCAACCCAUGAUAAUGAUUAUCGUGAUUAUUAUUAAGAAUAUAUAACCACUGUAGGAUGAAAGCAAAUACUGUAAAAUCCUACUCAUAGGUUUGCAGGGAUUAAAUGGCAUCACUGGAAAAUUGUCUGACACAAAGAAGGGGUUCAACAAAUGUUGUUUUACUUCCUCACUGUCAGCCUAAAUAUAGAAAGUAUUUGCUCAUUGGCCCGACAGACAAGUUUUGACUUCUAGUUUUAUACCAGCUUUAUGUAUACAUGCUUAUAUGUCGUAUGUGACAUUUUGUACAUAUAAACAUUAGUUCUGCCUUCUAAUGCUAUUUUGAAAUCACCUUUCCCUUGUUAAAGUGUUCUUUUGAAAUUAUAUAAAAUAGCUGAAUAGUAUUUUAAAGCCAAAAUGCUACAAUUUACUUGCCAUGUUUUAUAAUUUGCUUACAUUCAGAUGGUGUACCAUCUUGUGUUCUGUUAUGAAAUAGCACAACCAUGCAUAAAUGACCCUGCCAUCCUACCCCUAGAACUUUAUUUACCAUGAAAUGCCUCCACGUACUUUCAUUUGCAUGUCUUGAGAACUGAACCGUAGACCCCUCUUCCCUGUCAGUGUUGACCAUCGAUAUUUCCUCCCACAUGUGGCUUCUGUUUCUGUCUCUGGGCAGAUUUAUUCUAACCUGCCCUCAAAUCUGUAAGAAGAUUGUUCAUUCCCUAGGGCUAGUCCAAGUCUCCUGGCCUGGUGCUUACUUCAAAUUCACCUAAAUCUGGCAUAAAAGCUUUCAGGACAAGGUGGAUCAAACUGCGCCCUUGUGUGAGUACUCCCUGGACAGAAUGUCUGGUUAUCUUCGGUGUAAGUUAUUUCCCAUGACUCACAAAUAGAAAUCAGGAGAGGAGGGAGGUAGGAGGUGCAAGCCUCUGCAGCUGUCUGGAGAGUCAGCAAAAGGGAGACAGAAUCUUUAGUUACUUCACAUGUGUGACAAUACGCCUAUGUUUUGUUUUAUGUUGUUUAUUUCUUAUGUAACAUUGUUGAGUUAUCAAAUGAAGUGGUGUAUAAAAAUGUCAAAUAAACAGGUUCUCUCCCUUU
This 2562-nucleotide long non-coding RNA is filed under the name Homo sapiens (human). RNAcentral describes it as "HSALNT0400064". Lineage: Eukaryota; Metazoa; Chordata; Mammalia; Primates; Hominidae. The record is from RNAcentral.